UACAGAGGGUGCGAGCGUUAAUCGGAAUUACUGGGCGUAAAGCGCGCGUAGGCGGCUUUGCAAGUCGGGUGCGAAAUCCCCAGGCUUAACCUGGGAACUGCAUUCGAGACUGCAUUGCUAGAGUAUGGGAGAGGGAAGUGGAAUUUCCGGUGUAGCGGUGAAAUGCGUAGAUAUCGGAAGGAACAUCAGUGGCGAAAGCGACUUCCUGGACCAAUACUGACGCUCAUGUGCGAAAGCGUGGGGAGCAAACAGG
Molecule: ribosomal RNA, 253 nt
Filed under: uncultured bacterium
Lineage: Bacteria
Description: partial 16S ribosomal RNA
Rfam family: Bacterial small subunit ribosomal RNA
Source: RNAcentral